RNAcentral lists this unclassified non-coding RNA (344 nucleotides) under soil metagenome. Its description in RNAcentral is "partial contains 5.8S ribosomal RNA, internal transcribed spacer 2, and large subunit ribosomal RNA". The stretch from base 1 to 118 matches the Rfam family "5.8S ribosomal RNA", at positions 35 to 154 of the family's 154-position model. The record is from RNAcentral.
GAUGAAAACGCAGCGAAAUGCGAUACGUAAUGUGAAUUGCAAAUUCAGUGAAUCAUCGAGUCUUUGAACGCACAUUGCGCCCCCUGGUAUUCCGGGGGGCAUGCCUGUCCGAGCGUCAUUGCUGCCCUCAAGCACGGCUUGUGUGUUGGGCCCCGUCCUCCGAUCCCGGGGGACGGGCCCGAAAGGCAGCGGCGGCACCGCGUCCGGUCCUCGAGCGUAUGGGGCUUUGUCACCCGCUCUGUAGGCCCGGCCGGCGCUUGCCGAUCAACCCAAAUUUUUAUCCAGGUUGACCUCGGAUCAGGUAGGGAUACCCGCUGAACUUAAGCAUAUCAAUAAGCGGAGGA